CUCAGCUGGUAUGAAUGACACUAGUCCCACACUUCUGAGCUACAGUUCAAGGAGGCCUGCAGGAGACAGAGAAGUUCCACUGCAUCUGGCAAUACAACUUGCAUCCUCAAAUCUGCCUUCAAAGCUGUAAAUGCUAGGAACAAACUUUUAUCCAUGUAUCGGUCCUGUUGUUACAGUCAUCCGUGGUGGUUUACCUAAGGACAUGGAAGCUAGCUUCUGGCAACACAGAUCCCUGCUGACAAAGGAGGCAUGUUCCAUCUCCCAGUACCUCCUUUUGGUUGAAGUUGGCAAAAUGAAAGCAAAGGCUGGUCAGCACAUUUUCCAUCAUAAUCUAAGACUACGCAGAUGGAUCACAAAGAACUUCAGCAGUCAACACUACAUGCUUUAACGCG
RNAcentral lists this long non-coding RNA (392 nucleotides) under Gallus gallus (chicken). The record is from RNAcentral. Lineage: Eukaryota; Metazoa; Chordata; Aves; Galliformes; Phasianidae.